UGGUUCUGGCAUCGAUGAAGAACGCAGCGAAAUGCGAUAAGUAAUGUGAAUUGCAGAAUUCAGCGAAUCAUCGAAUCUUUGAACGCACAUUGCGCCUCCGGGUAUUCCCGGAGGCAUGCCUGUUCGAGCGUCGUUUAGACCAUGAGGCUUCGCCUUGCGAUGGCAUCUGGUGCCCGAAGGGGUUCCAUUUGCCCAAACACAUCGGCAUGCCGAAGUUGGCCCAGCACAGUACAAUGCGCCAGAGGACGACGGACGUAUGCCUGUACCACGGCGGUCUUCGACUUGGUCGUGGACCGCUCCAAGGGUCGACCUCGGAUCAGGCAAGAUUACCCGCUGA
This 337-nucleotide unclassified non-coding RNA is filed under the name uncultured fungus. RNAcentral's name for it is "partial contains 5.8S ribosomal RNA and internal transcribed spacer 2". The stretch from base 1 to 133 matches the Rfam family "5.8S ribosomal RNA", at positions 22 to 154 of the family's 154-position model. Lineage: Eukaryota; Fungi. The record is from RNAcentral.